This 507-nucleotide ribosomal RNA is filed under the name uncultured bacterium. RNAcentral's name for it is "bacterial SSU rRNA". It matches the Rfam family "Bacterial small subunit ribosomal RNA", at positions 1002 to 1509 of the family's 1533-position model. The record is from RNAcentral.
AGAGAUGCCUUGGUGCCUUCGGGAACGCUGAGACAGGUGCUGCAUGGCUGUCGUCAGCUCGUGUUGUGAAAUGUUGGGUUAAGUCCCGNAACGAGCGCAACCCUUAUCCUUUGUUGCCAGCGAUUCGGUCGGGAACUCAAAGGAGACUGCCGGUGAUAAACCGGAGGAAGGUGGGGAUGACGUCAAGUCAUCAUGGCCCUUACGAGUAGGGCUACACACGUGCUACAAUGGCGCAUACAAAGAGAAGCGACCUCGCGAGAGCAAGCGGACCUCAUAAAGUGCGUCGUAGUCCGGAUCGGAGUCUGCAACUCGACUCCGUGAAGUCGGAAUCGCUAGUAAUCGUGGAUCAGAAUGCCACGGUGAAUACGUUCCCGGGCCUUGUACACACCGCCCGUCACACCAUGGGAGUGGGUUGCAAAAGAAGUAGGUAGCUUAACCUUCGGGAGGGCGCUUACCACUUUGUGAUUCAUGACUGGGGUGAAGUCGUAACAAGGUAAGCGUAGCGAG